UCUGCUGACACCAACUCACAGAUCUGCUCACUUAACUGGGUGGAGGCCACCAGAAUCCUGGUGACCGGGCAUGGGCGCCCCCAUAACAGCGCCAUUUGUUGGGAUUGGAAUUUCCCCUCACUCAGGCCUCUUUUGCACCUUUCAGGUCAUUCAAGUCGUAUUCUGCACGUGUCCUUGAACAAGGUCGGGAGCCAGCUCUUCACUGCAGGUGCCGAUCAGCGUCUUCAUGUGUGGAACAUGCCAUUUCCCACAUCUCAGCAUUGUUAAGAACGUACGCUUAAAACAUGCGGUCAACACAUCACCAUUGCUGCAACGCGGCAAAUGCACAGUUCUCGUUCACACUUGCAGUCCACUGACAAAACCACCUUUGUGGCAAAAGACUCGCAGACUUCUAGCCCCUGAGAACCACCUUUUAUUUUAACUAUUAGUAGUAAAUAAAUAAAUGCAUCGGUGAAAAU
Molecule: long non-coding RNA, 458 nt
Organism: Hippocampus comes (tiger tail seahorse)
Lineage: Eukaryota; Metazoa; Chordata; Actinopteri; Syngnathiformes; Syngnathidae
Exons: 3
Source: RefSeq, a predicted model, not a curated record